RNAcentral lists this ribosomal RNA (280 nucleotides) under uncultured Methanofollis sp. RNAcentral describes it as "partial 16S ribosomal RNA". It matches the Rfam family "Archaeal small subunit ribosomal RNA", at positions 192 to 476 of the family's 1478-position model. Lineage: Archaea; Methanobacteriati; Methanobacteriota; Methanomicrobia; Methanomicrobiales; Methanomicrobiaceae. The record is from RNAcentral.
AGGUCCGCCGCCUUAGGUUGGGUCUGCGGCCGAUUAGGUAGUUGUUGGGGUAACGGCCNAACAAGCCUGUAAUCGGUACGGGUUGUGGGAGCAAGAGCCCGGAGAUGGAUUCUGAGACACGAAUCNAGGCCCUACGGGGCGCAGCAGGCGCGAAAACUUUACAAUGCAGGCAACUGUGAUAAGGGAACCCNGNGUGCCCGUAUGGACGGGCNGUUCAGGUGCUUAAAAACCACCUGGAGAAAGGGCCGGGCAAGACCGGUGCCAGCCGCCGCGGUAAUAC